CAUGCAAGUCGAACGCUGAAGCUUGGUGCUUGCACUGGGUGGAUGAGUGGCGAACGGGUGAGUAAUACGUGAGUAACCUGCCCUUGACUCUGGGAUAAGCCUGGGAAACUGGGUCUAAUACUGGAUAUGACCUCCUGUCGCAUGGUGGGGGGUGGAAAGGGUUUGUACUGGUUGUGGAUGGGCUCACGGCCUAUCAGCUUGUUGGUGGGGUAAUGGCCUACCAAGGCGACGACGGGUAGCCGGCCUGAGAGGGUGACCGGCCACACUGGGACUGAGACACGGCCCAGACUCCUACGGGAGGCAGCAGUGGGGAAUAUUGCACAAUGGGCGCAAGCCUGAUGCAGCGACGCCGCGUGAGGGAUGACGGCCUUCGGGUUGUAAACCUCUUUCAGCACGGAAGAAGCGAAAGUGACGGUACGUGCAGAAGAAGCGCCGGCUAACUACGUGCCAGCAGCCGCGGUAAUACGUAGGGCGCAAGCGUUGUCCGGAAUUAUUGGGCGUAAAGAGCUCGUAGGCGGUUUGUCGCGUCUGCUGUGAAAGCCCGGGGCUUAACCCCGGGUGUGCAGUGGGUACGGGCAGACUUGAGUGCAGUAGGGGAGACUGGAACUCCUGGUGUAGCGGUGAAAUGCGCAGAUAUCAGGAAGAACACCGAUGGCGAAAGCAGGUCUCUGGGCUGUUACUGACGCUGAGGAGCGAAAGCAUGGGGAGCGAACAGGAUUAGAUACCCUGGUAGUCCAUGCCGUAA
This 745-nucleotide ribosomal RNA is filed under the name Kocuria marina. RNAcentral's name for it is "bacterial SSU rRNA". It matches the Rfam family "Bacterial small subunit ribosomal RNA", at positions 54 to 805 of the family's 1533-position model. Lineage: Bacteria; Bacillati; Actinomycetota; Actinomycetes; Micrococcales; Micrococcaceae. The record is from RNAcentral.